CGAACGGGUGAGUAAUGCGUGACCAACCUGCCCCAUGCUCCAGAAUAGCUCUUGGAAACGGGUGGUAAUGCUGGAUGCUCCAACUUGACGCAUGUCUUGUUGGGAAAGUGUUUAGUGGCAUGGGAUGGGGUCGCGUCCUAUCAGCUUGUAGGCGGGGUAAUGGCCCACCUAGGCUUCGACGGGUAGCCGGCCUGAGAGGGCGGACGGCCACAUUGGGACUGAGAUACGGCCCAGACUCCUACGGAGGCAGCAGCU
Molecule: ribosomal RNA, 255 nt
Filed under: uncultured Gardnerella sp.
Lineage: Bacteria; Bacillati; Actinomycetota; Actinomycetes; Bifidobacteriales; Bifidobacteriaceae
Description: partial 16S ribosomal RNA
Rfam family: Bacterial small subunit ribosomal RNA
Source: RNAcentral